GCCCUGGUAGCUUAACGGUAGAGCACCCGCCUUGUAAGCGGGGGGUUGAGGGUUCGAAUCCCUCCCAGGGCU
The sequence is a transfer RNA, 72 nucleotides long. It matches the Rfam family "tRNA". Rfam says of the family: Transfer RNA (tRNA) molecules are approximately 80 nucleotides in length. Their secondary structure includes four short double-helical elements and three loops (D, anti-codon, and T loops). Further hydrogen bonds mediate the characteristic L-shaped molecular structure. tRNAs have two regions of fundamental functional importance: the anti-codon, which is responsible for specific mRNA codon recognition, and the 3' end, to which the tRNAs corresponding amino acid is attached (by aminoacyl-tRNA synthetases). tRNAs cope with the degeneracy of the genetic code in two manners: having more than one tRNA (with a specific anti-codon) for a particular amino acid; and 'wobble' base-pairing, i.e. permitting non-standard base-pairing at the 3rd anti-codon position.